This 433-nucleotide long non-coding RNA is filed under the name Homo sapiens (human). Its description in RNAcentral is "non-protein coding lnc-PDE7B-4:1". The record is from RNAcentral. Lineage: Eukaryota; Metazoa; Chordata; Mammalia; Primates; Hominidae.
GUUACAGAGCAAAAGCAAAGGGAAAUAGUACCUCCACAUGUCAAAGGAAAAUUUGGUGUCCAAAAGCUCCCAUUCCCGCUAGGAGAACUGACCUUGUGUAUUAGGGUUCUCUAGAGGGACAGAACGAAUAGGAUAGAUGUAUAUACAUACAGGGGAGUUUAUUAAGGAGUAUUAACUCACACAAUCACAGGGUGAGUGCAGGUUUAUUGCAUAGGUAUAUGUGUGCCAUGGUGGUUUGCUGCACCUGUCAACCCGUCAUCUAGGUUUUAAGCCUCACAUGCAUCAGGUAUUUGUCCUGAUGCUCUUCCUCUCCACCUCUCCCAUGACAGGCCCCAGUGUUUGUUGCUCCCCUCCCUGUGUCCAUGUGUUCUCACUGUUCAACUCCCACUUAUGAGUGAGAACACGUGGUGUUUGGGUUUCUGUUCCCGUGUUA